RNAcentral lists this ribosomal RNA (184 nucleotides) under uncultured rumen bacterium. Its description in RNAcentral is "partial 16S ribosomal RNA". It matches the Rfam family "Bacterial small subunit ribosomal RNA", at positions 340 to 524 of the family's 1533-position model. The record is from RNAcentral.
UACGGGAGGCAGCAGUGGGGAAUAUUCCACAAUGGGGGAAACCCUGAUGGAGCGACGCCGCGUGAGUGAAGAAGGGCUUCGGCUCGUAAAGCUCUUUUAUCCCGGACGAAUGACCUAUUAGAUAGGUAGAGACGGUACGGGGUGAAUAAGCCACGGCUAACUACGUGCCAGCAGCCGCGGUAAU